Molecule: ribosomal RNA, 695 nt
Filed under: Serratia sp. INBio3692G
Lineage: Bacteria; Pseudomonadati; Pseudomonadota; Gammaproteobacteria; Enterobacterales; Yersiniaceae
Description: bacterial SSU rRNA
Rfam family: Bacterial small subunit ribosomal RNA
Source: RNAcentral
CAGCGGAAAGUAGCUCUGCUACUUCUGCCGGCGAGCGGCGGACGGGUGAGUAAUGUCUGGGAAACUGCCCGAUGGAGGGGGAUAACUACUGGAAACGGUGGCUAAUACCGCAUAACGUCUUCGGACCAAAGUGGGGGACCUUCGGGCCUCACACCAUCGGAUGUGCCCAGAUGGGAUUAGCUAGUAGGUGGGGUAAUGGCUCACCUAGGCGACGAUCCCUAGCUGGUCUGAGAGGAUGACCAGCCACACUGGAACUGAGACACGGUCCAGACUCCUACGGGAGGCAGCAGUGGGGAAUAUUGCACAAUGGGCGCAAGCCUGAUGCAGCCAUGCCGCGUGUGUGAAGAAGGCCUUCGGGUUGUAAAGCACUUUCAGCGAGGAGGAAGGGUGGUGUGUUAAUAGCGCAUCACAUUGACGUUACUCGCAGAAGAAGCACCGGCUAACUCCGUGCCAGCAGCCGCGGUAAUACGGAGGGUGCAAGCGUUAAUCGGAAUUACUGGGCGUAAAGCGCACGCAGGCGGUUUGUUAAGUCAGAUGUGAAAUCCCCGCGCUUAACGUGGGAACUGCAUUUGAAACUGGCAAGCUAGAGUCUUGUAGAGGGGGGUAGAAUUCCAGGUGUACGCGGUGAAAUGCGUAGAGAUCUGGAGGAAUACCGGUGGCGAAGGCGGCCCCCUGACAAAGACUACCGUUCAGUC